CAUCGGGAGUAGACAACAGGGAUUGCCCCAGUAACGGCGAGUGAAGCGGCAACAGCUCAAAUUUGAAAUCUGGCCCCCCCCCCCGCGGGGCCCGAUUUUUUAUUUGCGAAGGAUGCUUUUGGGGGGCCGCCUUCCUAGUUGCCUGGAACGGGCCUCCAUAGAGGGAGACACCCCCGUCUGGACGGACGCCUACCCUCUGUAAACUUCCUUCAACCAAUCAAGUAGUUUGGGAAGGCUGCUCUGAAUGGGAGGUAUAUGUCUUCUAAAACUAAAUAUUGGACACAGACCGAUAGCGCACAAAUAGAUUGAUCGAAAAAUAAAAAUUACUUUGAAAAGAGGGUUAAACCGUACGUGAAAUUGUUGAAAGGGAAUCGCUUGUGACCACACUUGGGGGGGAUCAACCAGCCUUCUUUCCCGCGCGCUCCCUCCCCCCCGGCCCGGCCUCCAUUCGUUCCGGGGGAGAAAGGAAGCCGGCAGGAACCUCCCCCCCCCGGGAUUGUUACCGGCCCGCACUGACUCGCGCCGGACUGACGUUCGUUCGUCCGCCCGGAUGGUGGCUGAAUGAUUGCCAACGACUCACCUUGCUUGAAACACCGACCAGUCAUCCUCCCAUGCAAGUGUUCGUUUGGCUAACCCCUACCCACACUGAAUGUGAACGCACGUGAGAGACUCUCUGCGCAUCAUCCAUCGAUCCUGAUGUACUCUCAUGGAUGUGAGUGAGAACAUACAGGGCCGGACCCACCCGAAGGUGAACUAUGUAUGUGUGUGGUGAGUGCAGAGGAAACACUGGUGGAGGCUCGCAGCGGUUGUGUCUUACGUAUAGAUCGAUCGACAUGGAUGGGGGGGGCGAGAGACUAAUCAAACCCAUCUUUUUAGCUAGGUGGCUGCCGACGUCUUCCCCGCGAAAAAGAUAAAAAA
This 918-nucleotide ribosomal RNA is filed under the name Hirsutella flava. RNAcentral describes it as "Hirsutella sp. JQ-2017a partial 28S ribosomal RNA". It matches the Rfam family "Eukaryotic large subunit ribosomal RNA", at positions 48 to 989 of the family's 3401-position model. The record is from RNAcentral. Lineage: Eukaryota; Fungi; Ascomycota; Sordariomycetes; Hypocreales; Ophiocordycipitaceae.